GGAAAACUAAAGUUGUUGGCUUUUGAUGAAUGGGCGUUGUACGAGCUCUGCUGACCUGCCGCAUACACUAAUUGAUUACUUUUAACGUUAUAUAUAACUUAAUUGCUCAGACCCUGAGACUUCACUUACUUUCAUUACUCUACCUGCAACUCUCACCACCCUUUUUCUCUUUUUCUUCUUCUUCAUUUUUCAAUCUUUUAUUAUACACACGUGUAUUUACGU
This 222-nucleotide long non-coding RNA is filed under the name Carica papaya (papaya). RNAcentral's name for it is "long non-coding RNA (CPAP_LNC001668)". The record is from RNAcentral. Lineage: Eukaryota; Viridiplantae; Streptophyta; Magnoliopsida; Brassicales; Caricaceae.